RNAcentral lists this small RNA (23 nucleotides) under Arabidopsis thaliana (thale cress). RNAcentral describes it as "ATSL064860". The record is from RNAcentral. Lineage: Eukaryota; Viridiplantae; Streptophyta; Magnoliopsida; Brassicales; Brassicaceae.
AAGAAACGAGAGAAAGAGAACUC